Gymnogyps californianus (California condor) is the source of this 3351-nucleotide long non-coding RNA. RefSeq lists it as uncharacterized. The transcript has 5 exons. Lineage: Eukaryota; Metazoa; Chordata; Aves; Accipitriformes; Cathartidae. The record is from RefSeq and is a predicted model, not a curated record.
GCGACAAAAUGGCGCCGGGCGGGCAGCGGGGGGAAGGACGGACAGACGGACGGAUGCGCGGUCUGCGGGGGCCGGGGCGGCGAGCGUGGGCUUCAGCCGUGCCAGGAGCACGCGGAGGGGCUCCUCCUGAUGGGUUGAAGCCACCACCUCCAGCUCUGCUCACGGCAUGGAAAAUACCCAAAAGGCGCUUAAAACAAAAAAAACACCAAAAAACCCCAAAACACCCGAGGAUUGAUGGAUCUUCCGAGCCCAAGUGGUGCGGGGAAGAAGCUGUCGCCGCUCGCCUUGCUCCCCACGACAACCUGCCCACGAUUCGGUUAAUUAAAAGCAUAUACUUGGUGUGAUCAGAUGUGUUAAUACCAUUAAAAAAAAAACAAACAAUAACCAACGUAACAUCCAGACGCUCGUUGUUGGAGGCUGCAGCCAAGGGAAAUACAGGAUUGUUUGUGUAACCCCUCUCCACAGCAGAUACCUUCUUUGGAUGUGGUGGUUUGGAGAUACGCCUCGUGCUCAUCAGAGGCCGUUGCUGGCAUGGAGGUACGGUGGACGAAGAAGCUGGCUGUUUGGGAUGUUUCCACGUUUUUCAGGUUGGCACACCCUGUGGGACUCGGAAUUACUUUUCUUUGGCAGUUCAGGACAAACGAGUGAGAAUUACCUUGUGAGCGCUGAACUUUUACCACCCUCUGCUUUGGACUGAAGAGUUAUUAGAACUACAUCCAUGAGAUUUCCAAACUAAACAAAACCUGAAUUUCCGGUGCCAAAAAGUAAGCGAGCGACAGAAACCUCCGCUCCUCCUCCAUAAGGGGGGAAACCAGAGUCUUUCAAGCUUUCUUAUUAUCCCGAAGAGUGAAAAAGCUGCAUUGUGAGAUUUGCAGAGGUAAAACGAAAGCCAAAGCUAGCCAAGAAACUCUUCCCCUGCGCCGUAUUGCUGGAGGGGUUUUCGAGCGCAGCAGGUCUUGAUGCGCAAUAUUUUUCUUUUGUGCUUUCCUCUGAAGGGAAAGAGCGAUAACCACGCAAACGCGCAUUCAGUCCGCUCCGUUUAAAACGCCAUCGAGUUGCUUUGGUAUCCCAAUGGUGUUUGAUGAAGCCAAAGCUCUGAUGGUGGCUGGCUUGGUAUUUAUUUUGUGCUGCGUGUGCCGACCAAUCCCAUGGGGAAUGUGGGGAAGAGCAGCCUUUAACUCACAGGUUUGGACUGUGGGUUUUGUGUUAAAACCUUGCCCUGCAACAUCUCCAACGUACGUAAUUUCUGUGAUUUUUCCUGGGCAUUGCACGCGGGGCCUUUAUGUAAAGGUAAUACAACAAUUUGGUGUUAAAAAUGGCAAAGUACGGGAUACGGUGAUCUGUCCAGUCCUAGGGGAUUUAUAUCCUUUGCAGUUGUCAUGUUCGCAUAUCAAAUCACAUGGGGCUGGCUUUUUUUGGUUUUGUUUUCUUUGUUUUUCCCCUAAAAUGUAAUAUUUUGCAGCCUGGAAGACCAAAGUCCUCUCUGUCUAGCUGAUUAAAUGCCUUGUGUUUGGGAAAACCCCUUGUGAGGUGAGCAAGUACACAGCUCUUCGGCACGUGGUCGCACAGAAGUUGGGGGGCAAGGGGAAGCAGGGCAGAAGCCGGCACUGUGAUAUUUCUAAUUUUUCCCAACAACAGGCAAAAAAAUAGGUAUUAAUUCUAAUAGAUCUACUACACCGUAAGCAAGAGUAAGCUCUUUUGCAGUCCUGUGACGGCACAUGGUGUUUUGGUUGCGUGGCUCAGCGAUCGCGCCGUACUCUGCUGCUGAAGAAACAUCUGUUUUUGUAUCGCAACGUAUUUUGAAAACAGAAGUGUGCUUUUGUGUAUAUAUAAAUGGGUUCAGUGUAAACCGAAUUCCAGGGGGCUCCUGAGCUGUGUUUACUGUGCUGCAGAAGGUAACGUGUGCUAACCCACCGGCUACAGUGCCAGUAUUUUGUGGCAGCUCCCAUCCCUGGUACUGUGUGGAUAAGAACACCACCAUGAAGUCUGGUGGGGAAGAGCAUUAGAAAAUAAAUUACUAAAUACUGGCUUUCAAAAACGUGAAGGGAGUUUUCUGGACAGCGUCAUCUCGUCGUGAAGAUUUGGAGCGCUAACCCUCAAAGAGGAAAGAACUGAAAUCAAUAGUUUUAUUAAUACAAAUCCUAUACUUUGUGUUGCUUAGGAUCCCGAACCAGGCUUCGCAUUCAAAGCGUUACCAGCAUGUAAGCCAAUAUCCCCUGUCUUGGCAACAAAUGAGCCUAAAUAUCAAACAGCACCAAUUCCUUCUUGGAGAAAAUUAUCCAUUGCGUAAAAUGUAAUGGGUAAGCAAUAAAAUUAGGCCAGUAAUUCAGGCUGGCUUAAAAAUGAGAUAAAAGCCUAGCUGGCAAUUUGAUAUUCGGCUGCCAUACUGUCAUUUUAAUCAAUAUAGUCAAUGAGCAGGAAAGGCACGUAAAUACAUUUUAUAAUGACAAGAUGGUGGCUGGAGCGGGCUGGCUCGAACAAAGAAACGCUGCGAGUGUUUCUGGUGAUGUCUGAGGGCUUUUGUCUGGGUAACCUACUGUUUUUCUGUAAAAAGCAAAGCAAGCUGGAUGCGUACUGGACGCUGGUGGGGAUAAUCACUGCGUGCUGCUAAUGCGACAGCUCUAAUCCAUGCAAGUCCCCGGUCAACGUAGCUGGCCGGUGUCCCCAACUACGGGGAGAGGUAUCAUGCCUCCCUUCCCCACCUCCGGCUGCGCUGCUGCGAGCACAGAACGCGCAGCUAUUGCUAAGCCAGAACCAAGGAUAGGAAGUUACGGUCUUCACAAAUAUAGCUCUGGUUGCUGUCCUUGUUUGGUAUCUAAUCUUUGCUUUUUUUAAAUGUUUGGAAAGCAGUCCCGGCGACACGUGGCAGCGAGCUCCACCACUUGGAGUCGAUGGCUUUGUUUGCAAUCCGUGGAUGUCCCUCCCGGCCAGCCUGCCUGCAAGAUGGCCGUGUGACAGCAGUGACCCCGCGUGAGGUUUCUUCGAAGGACCUGGGAGCCGGCGUGGUUUUCUCGUGUCCCUUGGAGGUGCCACCCUAGCAGGGAGGGAGGAGAAGACCGGUUGGCGAUGCUGUCCCAGCAAGCACGCUCGAUUGGAGAGGGGAGAAUUCGGCAUCAAAAAGCCGUUUGAUGUGUGGUUUGGGUUUCUUCCUCUCCGAAAUGGAUGCCUGUAGAGCCCGUUGAAGGUGUAGAGACGUAGCGACUGCUCUUUGGGCUUCUGACCAGUUAAGAGAGCUGAGCCCAUUUCCACAGAGAAGAAACGUGCGGUGGGAAGUGCUGGUGGAGCGCGUUGGCAGUGCAUUUUCUCGUGCGCGCGUGGCUCCAUCACGUUUUAAAUAAUAGAUGGUUUGCG